CGCGGGGUGGAGCAGUCUGGUAGCUCGUCGGGCUCAUAACCCGAAGGUCGCUAGUUCGAAUCUAGCCCCCGCUACCA
RNAcentral lists this transfer RNA (77 nucleotides) under Deltaproteobacteria bacterium RBG_19FT_COMBO_46_9. Its description in RNAcentral is "tRNA-Met". It matches the Rfam family "tRNA". Rfam says of the family: Transfer RNA (tRNA) molecules are approximately 80 nucleotides in length. Their secondary structure includes four short double-helical elements and three loops (D, anti-codon, and T loops). The record is from RNAcentral. RNAcentral also lists the same sequence under 6 other names. Lineage: Bacteria; Deltaproteobacteria.